GGAGAAACACAGUUGGGAAUCGGCCAAAUGGUGCUACAGUGUGAGAUCGGCCGGUGACUUCUGUCUCGCUUCGGGUCGAAUGUACCAGAGUCCCAAUCGGUAGCCUUUUGCCGAUGAGGAAUCGGCCGAUUAGGAGGAUGGGUUAAAUGGGCCUGUAUGGGCUUGGAAAGGGAUAAAAGGAUGAGGUGGAAAUCAGCCCACGAAGCGUGGAGUAACCAACUUAGCACGAAUCGUGCUUGUAGAUAUUCGUUUUCUGUUUGAAUUAGGGAUAGAAUUCUAGUCGGUUAAGAAGUUAUCUGUACGGGGCUAUAAAUAGCUACCUUUGUAAAUCUGUAAUCAUCAACCAAUCAAUACAACAUACUACUUUUUCCUCGUACUUAUUUUCAAGCAGGCGACUUCGCCAACACCUUUCUCUUUUUCACGAGUUCGUGCGGAUUGGCAGGGCUGCAUUAGUUUGAUCUCCGGCCGAUUCUAUAAGUUCCGCUUAUCGAGUAAUAUCUAAGCUUUAACUACUGGCGUAUCGCUGUUGUUUCGUUUAGAUUUAUUCACCAUUUAUCGAUAUUUACUAGAAUCAUAGGGUUUUACCUAUUUUUUCUAGUUUUAUCACCAGUUAUCCAGCUAGGAAUCGGUAGUGUCGGCUUUCUUUACUUUCUGCUAUCAAACUCAUCUGUUGCCGAUUAGAUCUAUUCCUAGUGUUGUUAUCAUAGCUUUGUAUCGAUUACUCUGGUAAUUUUCUGUUUACAAGGCUACAGUGAUCGGCUGUUUUAUAGACGAUUCCUUUACUAAGGCAAAUCGGCCGAUUCGCUGACAAGCUCUCUCAAGAUCGGAAACUUAGCCGAUCGUGAUUUCUGAACCUGACACGUAUCCUUCCUUGCCAAUCAACAGGUCAGAUUGGCUGGCACGCCGCGCCAACCGCACCAGGGCAAUCACCCGAACAGGAGCUAAGCAGAUUCUCCCGGGUCGUGUGUCGGACGCUGGGAUUCGGUUGACCGAUUUCUAGCGCCAACACACUUUUGGCACGCCUGGUGGGACACGGUUAUAAGGCUCACAUUUUUAUUCAAUAAAAAAGCAUCUUCAGCAGCUGUAUCAAGUUCAUCGGCAUCGGCGUGUUGGAGUUAAUUCAAAUCAAUAUAAUAUUCCAACUAGAAGAGCCGAUGGUACAGAAAGAUGAUCUUAAUUUCAAUCGGCUGCACAUUGUAUAGAUAAAUUUGAUGCUAGAUCAAUUACGGAGGAAACCGAUACAACAUCGACACCAUUAUUCCUUACUGAUGUUAUAUAUCGGCCAGUUCAGAGGAAACAAGUAUCGGCUGGGCACAUAGUAGCUGUUUUUUAUCAGCCAAAGGAAUCAAAGCAUCGGCUGAUGGAAUAUAAUCGGCAAGCAUAGUGGCCGAUGGAAUUAUUUUUUUUAGCCAAUGGAACUUUUUUUUUCAGCCGAUAGAAGUAUUUUUCAGCUGAUGCAACAUUUUUUUAGCCGAUUGGAAAAGCUCCAGCGGGUGGGCAAGAGAGAAAUAAAAAAAUGCAUCGGCAGUUGUAUCGGCUGAUUGGAAGAAUUAAAAGGGAUCGGCCGAUUGGAAAUUGCAUCGGCUGAUGGAAAAUGGGAUCGGCCGAUUGGAGUUGUAUCGGCUGAUUGGAAGAAUUAAAAGGGAUCGGCCGAUUGGAAAUUGCAUCGGCUGAUGGAAAAUGGGAUCGGCCGAUUGGAGUUGUAUCAGCUGAUUAAGAAAAAAAAACAACGGCCGAUCGUAGAGAAAGACAUCGGCUGAUUAGCGUCAGCCUGUUGGAAUUAAAAGAAAAAAAAAACAGAGAGAGGCAUCGGCCGAUUAGCUUCAGCCAGUUGGAAUUGAAAGAAAAAAAACAAGCGUGGCAUCGGCCGAUGGAAAAUUGGUAUUGCCGAUUGUUGACGCCAGAUUUCGUCACUAAUAGAAUCGGCGCCAAGAAGAGAGGGAAUCGGAGGAGCACAGUUGGGAAUCGGCCAAAUGGUGCUACAGUGUGAGAUCGGCCGGUGACUUCUGUCUCGUUUCGGGUCAAAUAUACCAGAAUCCCAAUCGGUAGCCUUUUGCCGAUGAGGAAUCGGCCGAUUAGGAGGAUGGGUUAAUUGGGCCUGUAUGGGCUUGGAAUAGAAGGAUGAGGUGGAAAUCAGCCCACGAAGCGUGGAGUAACUAACCUAGCACGAAUCGUGCUUGUAGAUAUUUGUUUUCUGUUUGAAUUAGGGAUAGAAUUCUAGUCGGUUAAGAAAUCAUCUGUACGGGGCUAUAAAUAGCUACCUUUGUAAAUCUUUAAUCAUCAAC
This 2285-nucleotide long non-coding RNA is filed under the name Setaria viridis. Its description in RNAcentral is "long non-coding RNA (SVIR_LNC009701)". The record is from RNAcentral. Lineage: Eukaryota; Viridiplantae; Streptophyta; Magnoliopsida; Poales; Poaceae.